ACACAUGCAAGUCGAGGGGUAUGGUUCUUCGGAACCAGAGACCGGCGCACGGGUGCGUAACGCGUAUGCAAUCUGCCUUUCACAGAGGGAUAGCCCAGAGAAAUUUGGAUUAAUACCUCAUAGUAUAGCGACAUCGCAUGAUGAUGCUAUUAAAGUCACAACGGUGAAAGAUGAGCAUGCGUCCCAUUAGCUAGUUGGUAAGGUAACGGCUUACCAAGGCAACGAUGGGUAGGGGUCCUGAGAGGGAGAUCCCCCACACUGGUACUGAGACACGGACCAGACUCCUACGGGAGGCAGCAGUGAGGAAUAUUGGUCAAUGGGCGCAAGCCUGAACCAGCCAUGCCGCGUGCAGGAUGACGGUCCUAUGGAUUGUAAACUGCUUUUGCACAGGAAGAAACACUGAUUCGUGAAUCAGCUUGACGGUACUGUGAGAAUAAGGAUCGGCCAACUCCGUGCCAGCAGCCGCGGUAAUACGGAGGAUCCAAGCGUUAUCCGGAAUCAUUGGGUUUAAAGGGUCCGUAGGCGGUCUGGUAAGUCAGUGGUGAAAGCCCAUCGCUCAACGGUGGAACGGCCAUUGAUACUGCUGGACUUGAAUUAUUAGGAAGUAACUAGAAUAUGUAGUGUAGCGGUGAAAUGCUUAGAGAUUACAUGGAAUACCAAUUGCGAAGGCAGGUUACUACUAAUGGAUUGACGCUGAUGGACGAAAGCGUGGGUAGCGAACAGGAUUAGAUACCCUGGUAGUCCACGCCGUAAACGAUGGAUACUAGCUGUUGGAAGCAAUUUCAGUGGCUAAGCGAAAGUGAUAAGUAUCCCACCUGG
RNAcentral lists this ribosomal RNA (819 nucleotides) under uncultured bacterium. Its description in RNAcentral is "bacterial SSU rRNA". It matches the Rfam family "Bacterial small subunit ribosomal RNA", at positions 51 to 876 of the family's 1533-position model. The record is from RNAcentral.